UGUGGUCCUUUCCUGGCAGAUAUUAGCCUUU
This 31-nucleotide non-coding RNA is filed under the name Mus musculus (house mouse). Lineage: Eukaryota; Metazoa; Chordata; Mammalia; Rodentia; Muridae. The record is from RNAcentral.